GAAAUCCUGGAGUGAAGAAUCAUUCUGAAACUAGACCAAAUACAGGACAACACCACAGCAGUGGUUGGAAAAAUGCAGCAGACAAUGAGCAAGCCAAGCUGACUUUUAAAAGAUGAUUCGUUAUCUGUUCCUUCAAAGGGGAGGCAGUUUGGGAGAUGGGAAAUAGGAGGAUGCUACAGUUACACAGGGUGAAUUUCAGCAGCUCAGUUUCACACUUGCAACUAACAAUGAAUUAUAGUUGGAAGACAAACGGAAAUAUUUGACAUCGGAGUCCAGCAGACAGCCAGAGACACGCGCACACACACGGAGCUGAAGUACGGGAGAUCAGGCACGCGCACGGGAGCUCGCGCGCGCACGCACGCACACACAAACACGGAGCACAGGAAAAUGACAACUGUUCAAUUAAAAUAAAAGAACUUUGUGGUAAACAAUGUUUAGCGUGUCUGAUUUCAUUGGUUGUAAUUAAAUAAAACGAAGUGCUGAGGACUUUAGGCGAACGUCCCCUAAAAGUCCCGAAAGUCCGCUGACCGUCCUGCAAACGUCCUUGUGAAAGUCCGGAGGACGUCCUCGCGAACGUCCGCUCGACGUAACAGGGGACCCUACACAAUAACGUCCAUAGGACGUUCGCAGAGGACAUUUAGGGGACGUCCAGGGGACCUUUUUUUGUUA
Non-coding RNA from Misgurnus anguillicaudatus (oriental weatherfish), 669 nucleotides. NCBI's taxonomy places the organism in Eukaryota, Metazoa, Chordata, Actinopteri, Cypriniformes, Cobitidae. The record is from RefSeq and is a predicted model, not a curated record.